GCAGUAGCUCAGUGGCAGAGCAUCUGCUUUGCAUGCUGAAGGUCCCAGGUUCAAUCCCUGGCAUCUCCA
RNAcentral lists this transfer RNA (69 nucleotides) under Podarcis lilfordi (Lilford's wall lizard). RNAcentral's name for it is "tRNA.Ala". It matches the Rfam family "tRNA". From Rfam's summary of the family: Transfer RNA (tRNA) molecules are approximately 80 nucleotides in length. Their secondary structure includes four short double-helical elements and three loops (D, anti-codon, and T loops). The record is from RNAcentral. Lineage: Eukaryota; Metazoa; Chordata; Lepidosauria; Squamata; Lacertidae.